AUGAACGCUGGCGGCGUGCCUAAUACAUGCAAGUCGAGCGCACGGACGAGAAGCUUGCUUCUCUGAUGUUAGCGGCGGACGGGUGAGUAACACGUGGAUAACCUACCUAUAAGACUGGGAUAACUUCGGGAAACCGGAACUAACACCGGAUGAUAUUUUGAACCGCAUGGUUCAAAAGUGAAAGACGGUCUUGCUGUCACUUAUAGAUGGAUCCGCGCUGCAUUAGCUAGUUGGUAAGGUAACGGCUUACCAAGGCAACGAUGCAUAGCCGACCUGAGAGGGUGAUCGGCCACACUGGAACUGAGACACGGUCCAGACUCCUACGGGAGGCAGCAGUAGGGAAUCUUCCGCAAUGGGCGAAAGCCUGACGGAGCAACGCCGCGUGAGUGAUGAAGGUCUUCGGAUCGUAAAACUCUGUUAUUAGGGAAGAACAUAUGUGUAAGUAACUGUGCACAUCUUGACGGUACCUAAUCAGAAAGCCACGGCUAACUACGUG
RNAcentral lists this ribosomal RNA (496 nucleotides) under uncultured bacterium. RNAcentral's name for it is "partial 16S ribosomal RNA". It matches the Rfam family "Bacterial small subunit ribosomal RNA", at positions 29 to 507 of the family's 1533-position model. The record is from RNAcentral.